This is a non-coding RNA of Biomphalaria pfeifferi, 85 nucleotides long. Lineage: Eukaryota; Metazoa; Mollusca; Gastropoda; Planorbidae. The record is from the annotation of a GenBank genome assembly.
AGCCGAGACUAUGACUACACAGUUACCUAGUUCAGAAGACUAUUUAUGGAAAUUCAAAUUGAAGCCUCUUGGCUAGUAGAUGACA